AGUGAAUAUAGUUUAUUAAAAAUUUUAGUUUGUGAGCCUAAAGAUGAGGGUUUAUUACCCCCUAUUCACCG
This 71-nucleotide transfer RNA is filed under the name Litoria watjulumensis (giant rocketfrog). Its description in RNAcentral is "tRNA-His". It matches the Rfam family "tRNA". Rfam says of the family: Transfer RNA (tRNA) molecules are approximately 80 nucleotides in length. Their secondary structure includes four short double-helical elements and three loops (D, anti-codon, and T loops). Lineage: Eukaryota; Metazoa; Chordata; Amphibia; Anura; Pelodryadidae. The record is from RNAcentral.